UUGACGAAUCCGAGGAUCUCAUGUCCUUAGACCCACCCAUUAUAGUUUUCCUCGACGGCAUCGUCGAGACGGAGAGUUACUCUCCGGUACGAUCUCGACGACGAUUCAAGUAACUAUCGGAUACGUAGUGAUUGCCCCACGCAUUAACAUUGAGUACAACUUAGACGCUAAAGAAGAGUAGAGUUCGUCAUUCCGUUGACCGUGGAUUCGUUAUUGAGCCUAGGAUCAUCGUCAUUAGCUUCUCGAGUAUCAAAUUAUCGCGAUUACUUGUCCAAUUCCAUCAUGGUCAUGUUUGCACUGGUGAGUUCUGGGACUUGAAACACUCGAGAUUAGAAAUUUUGAUUAAUGUUUCACAUUAUCACUGGACGCUUGUUGUAAUAUCUUUUGUACGAGAUACACUAUACAUACACAAGAUCAAAAUGGAAUUUCGAAACGGUCGUAUCUUUCAACAAAAAUCUCUUUUAUCUUUGAUCCUCUUCAUAAAAAUGCAAUUCUCCUUUACAGAACAUCAUAUAACAUUUAUUGUACGAUAUAUUGUUCCAAUAUAUUUCGAAAUU
This 557-nucleotide unclassified non-coding RNA is filed under the name Bombus terrestris (buff-tailed bumblebee). RNAcentral describes it as "misc RNA ENSBTSG00005024163.1". Lineage: Eukaryota; Metazoa; Arthropoda; Insecta; Hymenoptera; Apidae. The record is from RNAcentral.